GAUGAACGCUGGCGGCGUGCCUAAUACAUGCAAGUCGAGCGAACAGACGAGGAGCUUGCUCCUUCGACGUUAGCGGCGGACGGGUGAGUAACACGUAGGUAACCUACCUAUAAGACUGGGAUAACUUCGGGAAACCGGAGCUAAUACCGGAUAAUAUUUCGAACCGCAUGGUUCGAUAGUGAAAGAUGGCUUUGCUAUCACUUAUAGAUGGACCUGCGCCGUAUUAGCUAGUUGGUAAGGUAACGGCUUACCAAGGCAACGAUACGUAGCCGACCUGAGAGGGUGAUCGGCCACACUGGAACUGAGACACGGUCCAGACUCCUACAGGAGGCAGCAGUAGGGAAUCUUCCGCAAUGGGCGAAAGCCUGACGGAGCAACGCCGCGUGAGUGAUGAAGGUCUUCGGAUCGUAAAACUCUGUUAUUAGGGAAGAACAAACGUGUAAGUAACUGUGCACGUCUUGACGGUACCUAAUCAGAAAGCCACGGCUAACUACGUG
This 497-nucleotide ribosomal RNA is filed under the name uncultured bacterium. Its description in RNAcentral is "partial 16S ribosomal RNA". It matches the Rfam family "Bacterial small subunit ribosomal RNA", at positions 28 to 507 of the family's 1533-position model. The record is from RNAcentral.